Molecule: ribosomal RNA, 766 nt
Filed under: Vibrio mediterranei
Lineage: Bacteria; Pseudomonadati; Pseudomonadota; Gammaproteobacteria; Vibrionales; Vibrionaceae
Description: bacterial SSU rRNA
Rfam family: Bacterial small subunit ribosomal RNA
Source: RNAcentral
CUGAUGCAGCCAUGCCGCGUGUGUGAAGAAGGCCUUCGGGUUGUAAAGCACUUUCAGCAGUGAGGAAGGCGGGUACGUUAAUAGCGUAUUCGUUUGACGUUAGCUGCAGAAGAAGCACCGGCUAACUCCGUGCCAGCAGCCGCGGUAAUACGGAGGGUGCGAGCGUUAAUCGGAAUUACUGGGCGUAAAGCGCAUGCAGGUGGUUCGUUAAGUCAGAUGUGAAAGCCCGGGGCUCAACCUCGGAACUGCAUUUGAAACUGGCGGACUAGAGUACUGUAGAGGGGGGUAGAAUUUCAGGUGUAGCGGUGAAAUGCGUAGAGAUCUGAAGGAAUACCGGUGGCGAAGGCGGCCCCCUGGACAGAUACUGACACUCAGAUGCGAAAGCGUGGGGAGCAAACAGGAUUAGAUACCCUGGUAGUCCACGCCGUAAACGAUGUCUACUUGGAGGUUGUGGCCUUGAGCCGUGGCUUUCGGAGCUAACGCGUUAAGUAGACCGCCUGGGGAGUACGGUCGCAAGAUUAAAACUCAAAUGAAUUGACGGGGGCCCGCACAAGCGGUGGAGCAUGUGGUUUAAUUCGAUGCAACGCGAAGAACCUUACCUACUCUUGACAUCCAGAGAAGCCAGCGGAGACGCAGGUGUGCCUUCGGGAGCUCUGAGACAGGUGCUGCAUGGCUGUCGUCAGCUCGUGUUGUGAAAUGUUGGGUUAAGUCCCGCAACGAGCGCAACCCUUAUCCUUGUUUGCCAGCGAGUAAUGUCGGGAACUCC